UGAGCAACCUAGCCCUUGACUCUGGAAUAACAGCUGGAAACAGCUGCUAAUACCGGAUACGACCUCCGAUGGCAUCAUCUGGAGGUGGAAAGCUCCGACGGUCAAGGAUGGGCUCGCGGCCUAUCAGCUUGUUGGUGAGGUAACGGCUCACCAAGGCUUCGACGGGUAGCCGGCCUGAGAGGGUGAUCGGCCACAUUGGAACUGAGACACGGUCCAGAUCCGUACGGG
This 228-nucleotide ribosomal RNA is filed under the name uncultured bacterium. Its description in RNAcentral is "partial 16S ribosomal RNA". It matches the Rfam family "Bacterial small subunit ribosomal RNA", at positions 118 to 345 of the family's 1533-position model. The record is from RNAcentral.